CCUACGGGAUGCAGCAGUAGGGAAUCUUCCACAAUGGGCGAAAGCCUGAUGGAGCAACGCCGCGUGGGUGAAGAAGGUCUUCGGAUCUUAAAACCCUGUUGUUAGAGAAGUAAGUGCGUGAGAGUAACUGUUCACGUUUCGACGGUAUCUAACCAGAAAGCCACGGCUAACUACGUGCCAGCAGCCGCGGUAAUACGUAGGUGGCAAGCGUUAUCCGGAUUUAUUUGGCGUAAAGGGAACGCAGGCGGUCUUUUAAGUCUGAUGUGAAAGCCUUCGGCUUAACCGGAGUAGUGCAUUGGAAACUGGGAGACUUGAGUGCAGAAGAGGAGAGUGGAACUCGAUGUGUAGCGGUGAAAUGCGUAGAUAUAAGGAAGAACACCAGUGGCGAAAGCGGCUCUCUGGUCUGAAACUGACGCUGAGGUUCGAAAGCGUGGGUAGCAAACAGGAUUAGAUACCCUGGUAGUC
This 465-nucleotide ribosomal RNA is filed under the name uncultured bacterium. Its description in RNAcentral is "partial 16S ribosomal RNA". It matches the Rfam family "Bacterial small subunit ribosomal RNA", at positions 338 to 795 of the family's 1533-position model. The record is from RNAcentral.